Molecule: unclassified non-coding RNA, 392 nt
Filed under: Parvimonas micra
Lineage: Bacteria; Bacillati; Bacillota; Tissierellia; Tissierellales; Peptoniphilaceae
Description: partial 16S-23S ribosomal RNA intergenic spacer
Rfam family: Bacterial large subunit ribosomal RNA (bases 289-392)
Source: RNAcentral
GGCUGGAUCACCUCCUUUCUAAGGAGUACAAAGAACGACAGUUCAAUUAAAGUUCUUAGUUUUAUCACUGUUUUUUGGUUCAAUUUUUUUAAUUUUAAACCAAAAGCUGUAAGGCUAACUAAAAGAGAAUACCAAAAUGAUAGUAUAAAAUAUUUUUUACUAUCGCAAAAAAAUAUUUUGGGGGUGUAGCUCAGUUGGGAGAGCACCUGCCUUGCAAGCAGGGGGUCAGGAGUUCGAAUCUCCUCAUCUCCACCAAGAAACCUGACAAUUAAAGAGAAAUAUAUUUCUGGUCAAGCGACCAAGGGCAUAAGGUGAAUGCCUUGGCACUGAGAGCCGAAGAAGGACGUGACAAGCUGCGAAAAGUCUCGGGGAGGAGCAAAUAUCCUGUGAUC